Lolium rigidum is the source of this 1037-nucleotide long non-coding RNA. RefSeq lists it as uncharacterized. The record is from RefSeq and is a predicted model, not a curated record. NCBI's taxonomy places the organism in Eukaryota, Viridiplantae, Streptophyta, Magnoliopsida, Poales, Poaceae. The transcript is spliced from 2 exons.
CUUAAGUUUAUUUUUAAUCAGUAUGGAUGACUUUGCAAUGCAUUGUUUGAUUGCUGAUAGUUUUUAGUGCCCAAUGAGCACAAAAGAAGCAUAAACCAUUCCUUAGAUAUAUAUAGCUCCUGAUGUGGCAUUGCUACCAAACUCUGGUCACGUGUCUGCUAUAGUUGAUGUUGUUUAUGAUUUAUUUUCAGAAAAUUAUUUGGAAUCUACUAUUUAGCACAAGGUGCUGUGAUUUGCCCUACUAAUAAUGUACCAGAUGCAAUGAAUGACUGUGUUUUUUUCUAGGGUCCCCGGGUUGCAAGGGAAAUUCAUAGUUGUGACAUUAUCUUGUGAUGGUGUGGGUUUAUUGUACCCUCUGAAAUUCCUCCAUACUGGUGAACUUGGAAAUUUCCCACACCAGAAUAUCUCUUUGAAGGUUGGUGUCCCUAUAAUGUUGUUGAAUAAAACAAUCAAUGGACAGGGUUGUGCAAGAGAACUUGGCUCAUUGUUAAAAGGUUAAGGCCAGACAUUGGAUAUGGAAAGUGUUUAUUUAUCAAAGCAUGUAUUUUCUCAUGAAAUGUCCCAAGAGUCACAAUGGAGAAAAAGACUGUAAAUACUUGCAAUAGACGACAAUGGUAUGGCAGCUACUGAAACUACAAAUAUCUUCUACUAGGAGCAAACACCGGAAUCUCACCUUCAGAUUAUAGUUGUUCUGAAAGGGAGAAGGAAAGAAGUAUCCUAACUGAUGAAACAGACAUUCUGCAACGAGGCCUCCAUUUUGUCAGCACCUGCCAUCGAGAAAACCAUUUCAAGUGUUAUUUGUCUACUCAGCCUUGUAGUGAGUAUGGAACAUAAGUAUCCAUGCAAUUGUACCAAAAAUAUUAUCCACCCGCUGUUGUAAGAAGUGCGGACACUACCGAUGUACCGUGGCAUCAAGUAUCUAAGGAUCCGUGCAUAAUUAUUGUAACGGCCGUUUUAGCUUAUUAUGUGUAGUCAACUACUCCCUUGGGCUUAGUUUUCAUGUUUGGUAGAUCAAACCACCUUUCACUUCCAUGUUA